Molecule: ribosomal RNA, 253 nt
Filed under: uncultured bacterium
Lineage: Bacteria
Description: partial 16S ribosomal RNA
Rfam family: Bacterial small subunit ribosomal RNA
Source: RNAcentral
UACGUAGGGUGCAAGCGUUGUCCGGAAUUACUGGGCGUAAAGGGCGCGUAGGCGGUUAAUUAAGCUAGAUGUGAAAUCCCUGGGCUUAACCUAGGAACUGCAUCUAAUACUGGUUGACUAGAGUGCGGUAGAGGGUAGUGGAAUUUCCGGUGUAGCGGUGAAAUGCGUAGAUAUCGGAAGGAACACCAGUGGCGAAGGCGGCUACCUGGACUGACACUGACGCUGAGGCGCGAGAGCGUGGGGAGCAAACAGG